AUGGCCGACAUCGCGUACAGUUCAUGCUGCGUCAAUGAGGUUGGGGCAUCACGUGUCGUCAACUGCGCGCACACCCGCUUAAACCCAGAAGCUUCCAUGUUCGAAUCAAACUGCGCAGAUCACUCCAAACUUUCCACGAUGGAUUGCCCACCUGCUGCUAAUGUCGGAAUCCACAGGGUUUCCAUGGAGACAAGUUCCAGUGAUAGAUUCGCAGCUCUGAGUAGCAUUGGGGAGGAGUAUAUCUGCAAGGAUAAGCUCCCCCUCCUUCUAAAGAAGAAGCUCGCACCCAUUUGUUACGUUUGGUUUGAACCAUCUCACAUGAUGGACAUAGAGCAGCAGGGGAUUAUGAAGACGAUCUAUGUAAACAAGAUAGUCCAAGCUGGUUGCACUGUUAAAAUAUUGAUGGCAGAUUGGUUUCUGCAGCGACAUUUCAAGAUUGGCACUGACCUGAAUAAAAUACGGAACAUUGGCAACUACAAUAUUGAGAUGUGGAAAGCAACUGGUAUGAACCUUGACAAAGUAGAGGUUGUAUGGUUGUCAGAUGAAUUGAAUCGCCACGCGGUUAAUUACUGGCCACUUGCGGUUGAUGUCUCCAGAAAAUACAGCAUGGAAAAAAUGGCAAGUUAUUGUCGGAACAGGACAUAUGGGCCACAAGGACUACCUGCUGCUGAGAUUUUCUACCCUUGCAUGCAGGUUGCUGCUAUAUUAUGCCAGAAGGCUGACAUAUGGCUCUUCAGCAUGGAUCAGCGAGACAUUGUCAUGCUAGCUAGGGAUUACUCCGAAGAAAUAAAUAGGGAAACCAAACCAGCUAUCAUACUGCAUAAUACGUUACCUCUUUUACCAGAAGACCCUGACUUGAACUCGCUGAGAUAUCCAGCGCGGACUCUGUUCAUGGACGAUGCACAGGAGGCUUCAAAUAGGAAAAUAGAGUUGGCUUUCUGCCCACCAAAAGUAACAGUGUCUAACCCAUUUCUGGAGUACAUCAGAUAUGUUAUAUUCCCUUGGUUUGGAAACUUGGAGGUAGCUGACAAGAAAGGGAAUGGCAGUAGCAAGACAUAUGCAAGCAUGGAAGAUUUUGUUGUUGACUAUGGAAGUGGCAAUCUUGAUUCUGCUGAUGUUAAGCUGGCUUUUGAAAAAGGAGUAAACAGCAUAUUAAAGCCUGUUCAGGACCACUUCAUUAGCAACAGUGAAGCCCAAAAUCUAUAUUUCUCCUGUAAGUUGCAGGAUCAAAUUACUGCAGAUACACGGAAGAUUAUACUACAGAAUGAGGAGAUUGUCUGGGGUAGGUCGGAGCUGCCACUAUGA
This 1305-nucleotide ribosomal RNA is filed under the name Triticum aestivum (bread wheat). RNAcentral's name for it is "partial small subunit ribosomal RNA". The record is from RNAcentral. Lineage: Eukaryota; Viridiplantae; Streptophyta; Magnoliopsida; Poales; Poaceae.